AACCCGACCCGGCGCGGAUCUAAAAUCUCUCUCUGCCAGCCACCACGCGCCUGCCCUACAGCCGCCACCGACGCCCCGUCCCCGCCCCCUCCCACGGUCGCCGCCGCCGUCGCCGUCGCCGUUCAUCUCCGCCCCGUCCGCGGUCUUUCCCCCCAUUGGGGUUCGAGGACCUGAGGUGCUUCUAGCUGGGAAGGAUGAGCAAAGGCCCGGUUCCGUUCCCUAGCUUUGGGAAGAAAGCAAAAGAUCUCUUGUACAAGGACUACAAUUUUGACCAAAAGUUUUCAUGGUCAACAACUAGCGAAUCUGGUUUGGGUAUCACAGCCUCUGGUGUGAAGUUCGAUGAACUCUUCAUUGGUGACAUACGGGUACAACAUAAAAGUGGUAGAAAUACUGUUGAUGUCACAAUCGAUUGCGAUUCCAAAGUGUCAACCGCGGUCACUUUUGAUGAAGUAGUCCCUGGUUUGAAGACUUCUUUCGGCUUCAAGGUUCCUGAUCAAAAGUCAGGGAAGCUCGAUUUGCAAUACCUUCAUGAUCGCUUCACACUGAAUUCAACCAUUGGCUUGACUUCGGCACCUGUGAUCGAGCUGGCAACAACUAUUGGCACAAACGAACUUGCUGUCGGUGCCGAGGUUGGAUUUGACAGCACUUCAGCUUCUGUUACCAAGUACAACUCAGGGGUCAGCUAUACCAAGGAUGAUUUUUCUGCCGCCUUACAAAUGGCUGACAAAGGCGAGACACUGAAAGCUUCCUACAUCCACCUGUUCAGCCCGACCAGCGCAGUGGCGGCCGAGGUAACGCACAGGUUGAAAACAAAGGAGAACUACUUCACCAUCGGGAGCUCCCACGCGCUCGACCCGUCCACGACGCUCAAGACGAGGUUCAGCAACAGCGGGAAGGCCGGGCUCCUCUGCCGGCACGAGUGGAGGCCCAAGUCGUACGUGACGCUCUCGGCCGAGUACGACCCCAAGGUGGUGAGCUCGCCGUCAAGGUUCGGCGUGGCCGUGGCCCUCAGCCCCUGAUCACCCGCCUGCCCGCCCGCAUCUCCUCCCUGUACAACAGCGCCAGCGUUAAGCACGCCGCUCCGCUCGUAUAUGUCCGAGCCAUACUCGCCGAUGAUUCUUUUUGGUCUCUCUCUCUUUUUGGGUUACAACAGUAUUGGUAUUGGCCCACGGAAACCUUGUCUAGGAGUUGGGCUCAUUUUUGCGGGAUUCCUCCGAUUAGCCUGCCUGCCGGCCGGCGAAGUAAGGGGCCGGGAACUGGAAAUAUACAGAGGUUUUGUACUAUUAGGCAUACGCUUUGGCCACUCCAGGCGAUGAAAUUGCUGACUUGCUGUCCGGGUUUGCUCGAAAAUCGCCGCGUCGACUGAGGGGGUCAUCUCAGGGUGAGUGAUUGUUAGUUUGAUAUCGUGGAUUUUAAGCCUGCAUUUCCCUGAUGUGUUGCUGUCAUGGCUCGUCUUUUCGCUGAAAGUGUGUUGAGAUUUUGGGUUUUGCCAUGUCCUGGAUGGCCUAUCUACCAAUGAUUUGUGUGGGGGUGGGGAUGCCUGCGUCUGCUUGUGGGCAUGGGCACCGUUCUCUUGGGGCUGGGUGGGCAUUGGCAUUGAGCAGUGACUAGUGAGGGACCGAGGACGAGAUCUCUCUUUCCCGUGGCAAAUCAUGGGUUCCCCGUGACUUGUCCUGUGUGUCACCUCACCUACUACCAAGGGUGGGGUGGGGUGCGUCGUCACUUGGCCCGGCGCUCUCCACGCUCCAGCGUCGCCCGCCCCUUUCUCCUCGCCCCCAACUCUAUCCGACCCAUCAUCACCCACUGACUAAAACCCCACACACUUCAAAGGUUUCAGCAGCACGAGGAAGGUGAUGGGGGCGGUGACAAUGGCGAGCAGCUUCCUCGUCCUCCGCCCGCGGGCGUCUUUGCCGUCGGCGUCGCAUCCUCGUCGUGCGCCCACGAGCGCCCCGCGGCGCCUCCUGGCCACGGCUGCUGAAACUCAUCCGCGGGAGGGGCUCUCCGUGGUGGCCGGCGAGACGAGGGCGAGGGCGACGACGACGCGGCUCUACUCGCUGGCGCCGUGCCCGGUGCUGCUGGCGGCGCUGCUGCCGGGGGCGGAGCCCAUCAGCGCGGCGUUCGAGCCCUUCGUGGAGCUGGUCAGGACCUUCAGCCUCCCCGACUGGCUCGUGCACUGGGGACACCCCGGCAACAUGGCCGUGGUGCUGUUCGCAAUGGGUGGGUACGGGACAUACCUGGGAUUCAGGAUCAAGCUGUCUGACGACCCUGAGGAGAAGGCCAAGGCCAAGGACCUCCACCCCAAGCUCCUCGGCGGCAUGUUCUUCUUCUUCGCCCUCGGUGCCACCGGCGGGGUCACCGCCCUCCUCACCUCCGGCAAACCAAUCCUCGAAAGCCCUCACGCGGUAACCGGUGUCAUUGGCCUUGCACUCCUGACCGUGCAGUCUCUCCUGCCAACAUUGUUUGAGGGAAACCCUGGGCUGAGAGGCGCGCACGGCCUACUCGGCAGCAGCAUCAUGACGCUCUUCCUUUUCCACGCCGCGUUUGGGCUGCAGCUCGGCCUCAGUUUUUAGUUUGGGGUUUGUUUCUGUGGUUGUUUAGAAGAAGUAAAUUCAUCUCCCACAAUUUCUCCUUGUCUUUGUUAGCUACUAGUAGUACUGUCAAGAAAACGAUAUCCCAACUUACAUACGUGCAGGUAUGCAUCACAACAUAAUUUCUUUCCAGAACCAUGGAUUACAAUGUGUAUGAUCUUUUUUACAACCGUCAGGGGGUUUGUGUAAACAGAAACAAAAGUAAUAGAGAUAUUUUUUACAACCGUGAGGGGGUUUGUGUAAACAAAAACAGAAGUAAUAGAGACAUAAGCUGUUGUUACUUUUGUUUCGUAUAAAUAUAGAACCCUGAUAAAUCCCGAUUGUUCGGAUUUUAAGC
Molecule: ribosomal RNA, 2925 nt
Filed under: Triticum aestivum (bread wheat)
Lineage: Eukaryota; Viridiplantae; Streptophyta; Magnoliopsida; Poales; Poaceae
Description: partial small subunit ribosomal RNA
Source: RNAcentral